This 468-nucleotide ribosomal RNA is filed under the name uncultured bacterium. Its description in RNAcentral is "partial 16S ribosomal RNA". It matches the Rfam family "Bacterial small subunit ribosomal RNA", at positions 28 to 507 of the family's 1533-position model. The record is from RNAcentral.
GACGAACGCUGGCGGCGUGCUUAACACAUGCAAGUCGAACGGAAAGGCCCUGCUUUUGUGGGGUGCUCGAGUGGCGAACGGAAGAGGAACACGUGAGUAGCCUGCCCUGGACUUUGGGAUAACUUCAGGACACUGGGGCUAAUACCGGAUAGGAGCUCCUGCUGCUUGGGGGUGGUUGGAAAGUGUCGGCGGUUGGGGAUGGACGCGCGGCUUAUCAGGUUGUUGGUGGGGUGGUGGCUUACCAGGGCUUUGAAGGGUAGCCGGCCUGAGAGGGUGACCGGCAACAUUGGGACUGAGAUACGGCCCAGCCGCCUACGGGAGGCAGCAGUGGGGAAUAUUGCACAAUGGGCGGAAGCCGGAUGCAGCGACGCCGCGUGCGGGAUGACGGCCUUCGGGUUGUAAACCGCUUUCGCCUGUGACGAAGCGUGAGUGACGGUAGUGGGUAAAGAAGCACCGGCUAACUACGUG